GUAGCUCCUUUAUCUCCAAAUUUGGGGCUUUAUGUUUCCAUUAAAAAUUCUAGGCUGUAAAUGCUGGGAAAUUUUCAGUCAACAUCCAUGACAGGACUUAUUUCCUUCAAAUACCAUGUAUGUUUAGGCAGUGCUAUGGACUUAAUUAUGUGAUCUGCAUAUUUGGUAUCACUGAGCCCCUACUAUGCAUUAUGUAGUGUGGGGAAUAAAGUCUGCUUUCUAAAGAGGCUGGAGAGUUGGACUUUCUUCUGCUGACAGUUGGUGGAUGGCUGGGAAUGAAGAUUUUGAAUAGUGCAUAGGAUGGGGUAGGGGUGGGGCCAGAUAUGAAGCCAUGGUGACAGAAGCACUGGGGAAGGAGAAUAAAGCAACUAAGAGAGGUUUGUAGGGCAAGGUGAAAAACAGAUGCAUGAUCACUUGAUGGGUAAAAUUAGAGAAGUGAAAAGCAAAGGAACAAGAUGAGAAAAGAAAGAACAAACCCAGGGUGUAACUGGAAGAUUGAUUUCAUGGCAAAAGGGAACUUAUCUUAUAUGCAUAUAACUUGCUAUGUAUGAUAGCCAGGAUAAUAUCUUCUUCUCUAAAAGGGAAAGGAAGAAUUUCCAAAGGCCUAAGGAAUUUUCAUCUAAUGCUAUACACAUCUAGAAAUGCAUACUCAGAGACUUUAAUAAUCCCUAUGUUAUAUUAACUGGGAAGCAAUGAGAAGUCUAAAAGCAGCUUUUCUGCAUAAGGGGAUGAGUAUUAUCAUAGCUAAUCUAGAACCAGGAAAGACAAGCCCUUAGCCAACAUUUCUUAUUAUUAAAAAGAGAAGGUGUUUCCAAAGUUACAGUACAGUCAGUCCUCUAUAAAAUUGAUAUAUAAAUACCUAUCCAUGUUAGCAAAGGAAAGCUGAUUCUAUUUUUAUAGCAAUCCAAAAUGUGUUAGUUUAGAGGCCUCAAGGAAGUACUUGAAUAUGAGUUUUAUGAUUAUUUAAAAAACACAAUCCUAAUGCAAAAUUCCUACUUUAUUUAUGCUUCAGAUUGAGAGAUGAAAAGUCAUCAUUUUAAUUCAGGUCAAAUAAGCAUUCCUGAAAGAAGCCAAGAGGUGAGCUGGAGUUUAAGAUAUUUCUCCAUGGAAUUUUCUGUGUUUCUUUCAAGUCCACUGAAUGAUGCCAAAAAUGUGCAGAAGAAGAAAGAUCUUGGCUUCUCUCUGCACGAGUUUGAGGGUGUGAAUGAAAAGUUCUGCAGUCAUCGUCUCCAUGGGAAAAAAAAAAUCUGAUUUUAGUAACAUCUUGCCAUAUACAAGAGUUAUUUUUUGAAAAAGUUUCUAAGCUUGUCAAAAUAUUCCUAGGUGCGAGUUUAGUGUUUCUUGAAAAACUGAAGAGGCAGAAGGUAAAAAAGCAAACGUUCAUGACUAUGUUUGGCCUUUCUCAUUCGUGUAUGAAAUAACUGUUGAACAAGGAAGAAAGAUAAAAUUCCUAUCUGAAAAGAUAGUGCCCACAUGUCUCUGACUGUUCCAUUCUCAACUAUGUUUUUAUUCCUCCUCUUCCUCCUCUUUGAUUACUUGAUUUCUUCUCAUCCAUGGAAGCUCAAAGCAAACAACCUUCUUACCAAAGCACCUUCCUUGUUUGCUAUCAACUAGCAUUCUCGGGAGCUCAAAGCAGUUUUUUCCUUACGUUUCACUUAUUUGGUAUGUAAAUUAUAAAUAUAUUGUUAGGCAAUCAAAUCAUAUUUUCUCUAUAAGUUUACUAAGACUUUGAAGCAAGGGGUACAUGUCUCUUACCUGCAUGGCUUUGUGAACAGCAGCAGCUCUAUUGACUUAUCCCCUCUGAGACAAAACAGGUGGGACAUAGGGAGGAUUAUAAAACACAAGAAGCUCAAGAAGGAGUUGAAUUCCUCUGCCGCUUCCUGCUACCAACACUCUAUCCCCACAAAAUCUGAGAGUGAUCUGUUAGCCAUGAAACCAUGUCUUUGGGGGUUGGUGUCAUAAUUAUCAUUAAAGGGCUUAGCUGUAGGAAAUGGCCUUGCUUUCUAAAUUUCACUGAAAUAGCCUACAUGUCCAGAACAAUUAAGAAUUAUAUAGGUUAGAAAAAAGUGUCUUUUAAAAUUAAAUAGUUGUGCUGUGAUUCAAACUGCCUUGUUUCCAAAUAUCCAUCCUUUUAACCAGGAAGGCACAUUUUCAACAUGACAUAAAAAAAGGGCUGAUAUAACAAAGAAAUUAAAGAAUAUCAAAGCCAACACAGUAAAAAGCAAUGGCAUCCUCAACAAGAAAGGGAAUGUGAAACUGAAUACAGGUACCAGGAAUCAGAAGAGUGCCAGGAAGAGAAUGAUCUUUGUUCUGCAGUAGCAGAGUUGCCUCCUGAGGAGCUGGAGAAAGCAGGCUUGCUUGUGUCACUAAAAGAAGCAAUGUUGACUCAAGGAGAAAUACACAAUGCCAUGAAUUAUAAGGACUGGUGACAGAAAAUGAGUUAGGUUCUCUCUUUCAUCUUCUUCUGGUAUCCCUACACAAGAAUCAUGGGCUAAUAGCAUGUUAGGGCUGGAAGGGGCUUAUAGAACAUCUAGUAUAACUUCCUCUCUUUAUUGGUGUUGCAAGUGAGGCCCAAAGAGAGGAAUUUACCUAACGUGCAGCAGUGCUGCAGAAAAUUCAAAUUCUUUACUUCUAACUAUUCCCAGAAUUGGUCAUUCAUCUCUUCAAAAUAUAUGUGUUGGUGUAAAUAAAAUUAUACCCAAGGGGGUUUUUAAUCUCACACAACUAUAUAUCACAUGGCAGGGACAAACAUUAACAAUCAGAGCCAAGUUGUUACUAUAGUCAAUAAAUUGAAUAACUUAUUUUACCACCUCUUAUUCUUCUACCUUUUUAAAAAGUGUAUAUAUCAAAACAAGCUUCAUCUUACUUAGUGUCCUCAUGCAUGGAUAGAGUUAAAAUGGUUUAGGCAUCAUUUUGCAUUAGAGUUCUGGAAUGUAUGCAGAGCAAGGUUGGAUGGAUUUUUACCAUGUAAGUCAGCCACUAGGCAGUAUUUGUAGUGGAAAUGGGCCUCUAACACUCAUUUCCAAUAGGACAGUAGAAAACAUGGUAUCUACCACCACAGAUCUGCUGUCAAAAGUUUAACCUCCUAUGGGUUAACAUGCGAGUGAUUUAUUUUAUCUUGUGAGCUACUUUGACACCAAAGUAUCUUGAAUGGUCAUAAGUUUGACAAAAAGACCUUUAUGGCUGGUUGAAAUUAAUGACCUCUAAAGUUUGAUUUUACCCUGAGAUCCUGUGAUUCUAAGAGCAGCAGUAGAAAUCCUAGGCAUCUUUCAAGUGUCAUUCUGAACAACAAAAAAAAUAACAUCAGAAGGGAAAAUCUUUUAGACUCAUUAUCUUGCCAUUUCAACCAAUAUAAAUACCAGCUUUAUUUUUUGAAAGCUUUAUUGGAAUUUCUACAUAAGGCUACAUACAUUUCUAAAUAGCUCCCUCAAACUAGAAACUUGUCUAUAAAACAACUGAAAUCAAAUGGAAAGCCCCUUUUCUCAGCCUUAUAUAAGUAAACCUUACUUAUAUAUACCUGAUCAAUAGGGCUAUACUCUCCCUGACAGAUGUUUUCAUUUUUUCUGCCUGAAUAUAAUGUAAAUGGAGCAAAUUCUACCCUAAGGUGCAAUAUUAUACCACAGACUGAUAUAAUAAUAAUUUAUGGCCUAUAUAUUAUAGUUAUAUAAAAUGUCUCAUACCACAUCACCAAUUAUAAGGGGCUGAUCUGCAAUACAACUGAUAGGUUUAGUCCUAUAGGACAUUUCAUUCCAGUUAUAGUUUAAUUUUCAACCUUACUCAUUUGUGAUCUCUCUUUAUAAUUGCCAAAAAGUUCAGGGAUCAUAUGAAGCACUGUUUUUCAAAUGGCCCAUGUGGAAGCAGAAGCCUAGUACAUAUCUUUGAUAAAAGAAUUAACAAGGAUAGUAAUUUAUUAUAUUCUGUAGGGAGAGAAAUUAAUAAUUUAACUACAGAAGAAUUCAGAUGAAUAGGAAAAGAAGAGGAAAAAAAGGAAAACUAGAAAAAAAUUGCUUUCCAGGUUCACAGAAGGCAAACAUCGUGUGGACACUUCCCCAGUGCCUCGGGCUAUGUGGUUAAGACUAAACACACCGUGUGCUCUAUCUUCUAUUUGUUGAACCUCCAGGUGGAACCAGAUUAGCAGAAAGAACGUUUCCUCGGUCAUGAGGGAAUUUAAUUCUUAUCACCUGCUGUGGAAGAUUGGCAACAGCAUUCCUGACCUAAAGAAUAAACUUCUAAUUGUUCUUAAGAAGGUAAUUCCACCAAGGUAAUUCUAGGUCUGCUUCAGCUAUUCCUUAUUUUUGAGUGAUUUUAUUUCAGACUUAAAUCCAUUCCCUUGACGAUAACUGGAGAAAUGAAGCAUAGGAAGAAAAUUGUCCAGAAAGGAUAACACCAAACAUUAAUCUCUUUUGGAACAGAGAGACUCUUUGUUUUUAGUAAACUAGACACAGUUUCAUGGGCAUGUAGGUACUUGAGUGCCCACAAUGCACCAGGCAAUGUGCUGGGGGUGGCAAGAAAUAAAUGCAAUGCUUCUCUACUCUGUGGCAAGCCCUGUGAUAGAACUUUUUACACGCCAUCUCAGCAGACCCUGCAUUUGUCUAAUGUCUAUUUCAUGCUUUUUACACCUGUGUAAGGCAGUCUAUAAGGUGGCUCCCAACUGUCUCAGCCUCCUGGUAUUCAUACCCUUGAUUAUUCCCUCCCCUUAAAUGUCCUAUACUUAUUGACUCACUUCUAAGUGAUGAAUAGAAUACAGUAGAGGUGACAGGAUGUCACUUUCAAGAUUAGAUUGAAAACAACAAUGGCUUCCACCUUCUCCCCAACCCUCAAUCAAAGACAGCUAUUAAGUUGUAAGCUGUCCUGUAGAAAGGCUCUUGUGCCAAUGAAGUAUUAUCUGUGGCCAACAGUCCACAAUGACUAAGGCCUGCCACCAGCCAUAGGUAAGGGCUUGGAAGCAGAUCUCUCCCAAGUUGAGGUGACUGAAGCCCUGGCUGUCACCUCGGUUGCAGCCUUAUGGAGGGACUCUAAGCCAGAGGCACCCAGCUAAGCCACAUCUGGAUUCCUGACCUGCAAAAAUUAGGAGGUAAUGCCUUGUUGAUUUUUGAGCUGCUACGUUUUGGAGUUAUUUGUUAUGCAGCAAUAGAGAACUAAUAUAACACCAUUUCCUCCUCUCUAGUCACCAUUAUUUAGAAACAACUCCAUGAAUGAACAAUGAGAAUCAAGAGCUGGGAAUCAAUAGUUGAGGUGACAGAUUAGGCAACAGCAUGAUGGCCAGCACGUGUCUCACCCAGAAGCUGUCCUCUUCCUUCUUAUAAGACAAGGCUCUAACUCAUGAGGAUGGUUUUUACCACAAAGUUGCACGAGGUGCUUGAAUUUACCACAAAGUUGCAGGAGGUGCUUGACUAGUACAGGAGCACAGCUAAAAAAGGCUCUGCAGACCAAGUCUUCCAUAUUGAUCACAUCUUAGCUAACACUGCUAUGGCUUAAUUGGGCAAACGGCCAAUGGCAUCUGAUCUGCCAUUUUCCAUUUCUCUCAAAAACUAGUUAAGGUAUGGGAAGGACAUCUACCUCAUUUUCCUCUCCUGCCUCCCCGCCUGCCACACACAUUGAGGGCCAAGAAUGGCUCUUUGUAAAGCUACUUGAAAUAAAUGCUACAGGCCUCGUCCUGCUUGGAAGUAAAUCUGGAUGGAAUGUAAUCAAACAGCAUGCAUUUGGCAUCAACUUAUGUUUGAGCAUUGCAGGUAUAAAAAUGAAAAAUAUGUUUUGGCAGAGAGUUGGACAGAAAGGAAGACUUAAUUAAAUAUCUGAAAUAUACACCACUGGAACCAAUUAAUAAUCAUCAAGGGAUCAGAAAAGGAAGGACAGUAAUAAAAAGAGUUUAUAAAGUCGAAAUUUCAGGUGAGAGGGAAAAAAUCCUAUCCACAUUCUUCUGAAUCUCUGAAUUGGUAAGCAACACUUUAUUUUUCAUUUUCCUAACUAAUAUUUAUGCAUUGUCAAUGUCCUACUGCCUUCAAUAAGUUUACAAUCUAACUGGGAGACCAAAAUCUCUAAAAUGCAAUAAUGUGUGCAUCAAAACUCAAGUUCUUAUCAGGGACUGAUUACUUUGGAGUCCUCAGCUCCAUCUCCUAACCCAUGUAUACACUUUCAUAGUUCCUCUUCAGAAAGGAACUAUUUUUAUUCUGUAAAAAUCUAGUGGUCAAAUGAAAUGGGUAUGCUUUAUAGGUAAGGAUCCUGAAGCAAAAAUCAAAUGCAUAAAGAUUACACGGCAAAUGAAGUAAGAGAUUUUUAAGCUCUGACACCAUUUGAUUUUUAGUUUUUUCUAUCACAAAAUAGUGCUAAUAGCUUAUAAAAUUAAAAUAAGUAAAAGUAGCUUUGUUAAAGCAGAAAGAAACUUACACUUCCCUACAACAAUUUGCAAACUUAAGUCAAAUGAUCAAUGAUCAAAUAGCAGAGGCUGGAGUGUGCCCAAGGGGGACUUGAUCUUAUUCUGGGUGUUUUAGCCCAAGCAGAAAUCAAUGCAGGGUUUUCUGCCACCUGCUUAUUUUGUUUCCAGUCAAGCAAAACAAGGGGCUUAUCUCCCUCACAGAUCAGCAUAUGAGAUAUGCUUCAGAUAUGUUUGCCUGUCAGACUCAUAAACACAACAAGAUAUGCCAGCUGCAAUGAAGAGAAGCCCUGUUUCAGUUCGUGGAUUACAGACUGCAACAUCCAUCAGCAUCAAGACAAACACCUUCAAACUACUGUCCUUGGCGUCCAGCCUAACAGAUCUGAGGAAUGUGAUAAAGGAACACUGGAUUCCCAAGGUCUGCUCAGGUUUCCUUCCAUAACAAGAAGUAGCCAAAUACAGCUGAACAGGCCUGCUGAAACCACUGAUUUCUUUCGUUUAAGUUCAGAGGUUCGUAACCUGCUCAAUGGUUUAAACAACAACAACAAGCAGUAUCGGAAGUCAGCAUCAUCUACUCAGCAGCCCAAAUCUGGAAGGUUUUGGAAAAAAUCAGGACACCACUGUUAACCACCUUAACAAGACUGCAAACACAGGCUGUCUAUUCCUCAUCAACAGAAUCUUUGAUACUGGCAAUUUGUUUAGAUUGGCUUGCAGAAGCAUAUAUUGGUAGCUAUGUUAUGAAUAUUUACCGGUUUCAUACACAUUCAUAAAAAUCAGAAACAUUUUCCUCCUAGGUAUCUGCAUUGGUCUUGAAUGGCUGUUUAAAAAUAAUCAGAAACCCCCACUCAUUCAAGAAUGACUCUUACCUACAACCCAAAUAAGCCAUACAGACAAGGGUAGAUCUCAGAUGAAUGAUAAUCAAGGGCCCUGUUAAAAUCUUCUGAAAUCAAAAAUAAAUAGUAAUUACUUUAUUAUCUAUCUGCCUAUCUAUUCAACCAUUCACAUUCUUUAAAAUUUUUGUAGGUACAUAGUAGGUGUACAUAUUUAUGGGGCAUAAGUUAUAUUUUGAUAUGGGCAUAAAUGUGUAAUAAUCACAUCAGGGUAAAUGGGGUAGCCAUCACCUCAAGCAUUUAUCCUAUUACAAGCAAU
This 7522-nucleotide long non-coding RNA is filed under the name Homo sapiens (human). RNAcentral describes it as "HSALNT0378136". Lineage: Eukaryota; Metazoa; Chordata; Mammalia; Primates; Hominidae. The record is from RNAcentral.